GCCUGGGUGGCUCAGUUGGUUAGGCCUCUGACUUCAGCUCAGGUCAGGAUCUCCCAGCUCGUGGGUUUGAACCCCGCAUCAGGCU
Molecule: transfer RNA, 85 nt
Filed under: Felis catus (domestic cat)
Lineage: Eukaryota; Metazoa; Chordata; Mammalia; Carnivora; Felidae
Also listed under: 1 other name
Rfam family: tRNA
About the family: Transfer RNA (tRNA) molecules are approximately 80 nucleotides in length. Their secondary structure includes four short double-helical elements and three loops (D, anti-codon, and T loops).
Source: Rfam by way of RNAcentral